UUCUUAUCAAGAGUGGCGGAGGGACUGGCCCUAUGAUGCCCGGCAACCUGGAUAUAGUGAAAUAUAUUCAAGGUGCUAAUUCCAACAGGAAUAUAUACCUGAAAGAUGAGAG
Molecule: non-coding RNA, 112 nt
Filed under: Clostridium autoethanogenum
Lineage: Bacteria; Bacillati; Bacillota; Clostridia; Eubacteriales; Clostridiaceae
Description: SAM-I sequence
Rfam family: SAM riboswitch aptamer (S box leader)
About the family: The SAM riboswitch is found upstream of a number of genes which code for proteins involved in methionine or cysteine biosynthesis in Gram-positive bacteria. The SAM riboswitch acts at the level of transcription termination control. The predicted structure consists of a complex stem-loop region followed by a single stem loop terminator region.
Source: RNAcentral